UUGAUCACAACCAGUUACAGAUUUCUUUGU
This 30-nucleotide non-coding RNA is filed under the name Callithrix jacchus (white-tufted-ear marmoset). RNAcentral also lists the same sequence under 2 other names. Lineage: Eukaryota; Metazoa; Chordata; Mammalia; Primates; Cebidae. The record is from RNAcentral.